RNAcentral lists this ribosomal RNA (549 nucleotides) under uncultured bacterium. RNAcentral describes it as "partial 16S ribosomal RNA". It matches the Rfam family "Bacterial small subunit ribosomal RNA", at positions 355 to 896 of the family's 1533-position model. The record is from RNAcentral.
CUAAGAAUAUUCCGCAAUGGACGGAAGUCUGACGGAGCGACGCCGCGUGGAUGACGAAGGCCGAAAGGUUGUAAAGUUCUUUUGCUGGGGAAGAAUAACCGCAGGAGGGAAUGCCUGUGGGAUGACAAGAACCGGCGAAUAAGCCCCGGCCAACUACGUGCCAGCAGCCGCGGUAACACGUAGGGGGGCGAGCGUUGUUCGGAAUUACUGGGCGUAAAGGGCAUGUAGGCGGCUUGGAAAGCCUGGCGUGAAAGUCUGCAGCUUAACUGCAGGGGUGCGCUGGGAACUGCUGAGCUUGAGUGACGGAGAGGGAGCUGGAAUUCCUGGUGUAGGGGGUGAAAUCUGUAGAUAUCAGGAAGAACACCGAUGGCGAAGGCAAGCUCCUGGCCGAUGACUGACGCUGAGGUGCGAAAGUGUGGGGAUCAAACAGGAUUAGAUACCCUGGUAGUCCACACAGUCAACGAUGUGCACUAGGUGCUGGGGCGGUAGCUUCGGUGCCGGAGCGAACGUGGUAAGUGCACCGCCUGGGGGAGUAUGCUCGCAAGGGUG